AUAGCAAGCUCGGUGCUGACAGAAGAACAGCACUCGUACAGCCACACUUGUAAGGCUAACGAGCAUCCCCGUAUAAGAUAAAAAUGGACGUUGGGACUGAGACGAUGUCUGAUAGACUCAAGAACUUGCUUAAAAGAUUUUGUACCCCAUGGGUACGAAUCAAAAUAACCACUCUCUAUAAGAAAAAACGUAAAUUUGUC
This 200-nucleotide long non-coding RNA is filed under the name Nicotiana benthamiana. RNAcentral's name for it is "long non-coding RNA (NBEN_LNC036852)". Lineage: Eukaryota; Viridiplantae; Streptophyta; Magnoliopsida; Solanales; Solanaceae. The record is from RNAcentral.